CCUACGUGUGGCUGCAGUGAGGAAUAGUGGUCAAUGGGCGCGAGCCUGAACCAGCCAAGUAGCGUGAAGGAUGACUGCCCUACGGGUUGUAAACUUCUUUUAUAAAGGAAUAAAGUGAGGCACGUGUGCCUUUUUGUAUGUACUUUAUGAAUAAGGAUCGGCUAACUCCGUGCCAGCAGCCGCGGUAAUACGGAGGAUCCCAGCGUUAUCCGGAUUUAUUGGGUUUAAAGGGAUCGUAGAUGGGUUGUUAAGUCAGUUGUGAAAGUUUGCGGCUCAACCGUAAAAUUGCAAUUGAUACUGGCAGUCUUGCGUACAGUUGAGGUAGGCUGAAUUCGUUGUGUAGCGGUG
This 348-nucleotide ribosomal RNA is filed under the name uncultured bacterium. RNAcentral's name for it is "partial 16S ribosomal RNA". It matches the Rfam family "Bacterial small subunit ribosomal RNA", at positions 338 to 683 of the family's 1533-position model. The record is from RNAcentral.